RNAcentral lists this unclassified non-coding RNA (340 nucleotides) under soil metagenome. Its description in RNAcentral is "partial contains 5.8S ribosomal RNA, internal transcribed spacer 2, and large subunit ribosomal RNA". The stretch from base 1 to 119 matches the Rfam family "5.8S ribosomal RNA", at positions 36 to 154 of the family's 154-position model. The record is from RNAcentral.
AUGAAGAACGUAGCGAAAUGCGAUAAGUAGUGUGAAUUGCAGAAUUCAGUGAAUCAUCGAAUCUUUGAACGCACAUUGCGCCCUUUGGUAUUCCAAAGGGCAUGCCUGUUCGAGCGUCAUUUGUACCCUCAAGCUUUGCUUGGUGUUGGGCGUCUUGUCUCUAGCUUUGCUGGAGACUCGCCUUAAAGUAAUUGGCAGCCGGCCUACUGGUUUCGGAGCGCAGCACAAGUCGCACUCUCUAUCAGCAAAGGUCUAGCAUCCAUUAAACCUUUUUUUCAACUUUUGACCUCGGAUCAGGUAGGGAUACCCGCUGAACUUAAGCAUAUCAAUAAGCGGAGGA